GCCAGAGUGGCGGAAUUGGUAGACGCGACGGAUUCAAAAUCCGUUUCCCGUAAGGGAGUGCCGGUUCGAUCCCGGCCUUUGGUA
This 84-nucleotide transfer RNA is filed under the name Myxococcales bacterium. Its description in RNAcentral is "tRNA-Leu". It matches the Rfam family "tRNA". From Rfam's summary of the family: Transfer RNA (tRNA) molecules are approximately 80 nucleotides in length. Lineage: Bacteria; Pseudomonadati; Myxococcota; Myxococcia; Myxococcales. The record is from RNAcentral.